CCUAAUUAGAAUUCUAAUCGUAAUAAGACGGUUCAAAUUAUUUCCUAUAUAUAAAGGCUAGGUCCCCUCUCGUCUCCACAUGUUUCAUUAGAUUGCCCCAUUGAUAGCUAAUACUUUUGUGAGGAGUAAAGAGGGGAAGAUCUUAGCUGCUAUUACAACUACUAUUCAUAUUAAUAAUGGCUUCCGCAAGUAUGAAUUUGGUUUAUUAAUUUAUUAUUUGGUGAUUCUUGAUUCUUAGCAUGAUUACAAAUUAAAAUUUAACAUUAACUUGAGAAACAUGAUAGAUUCAUUCUCUCCAUAAUGAGAUAAUCACGUGAUACCUUCUAAAUUCAAGUAUGCCACUAAAUCUACAUUUCAAUUAAGUUCAAGAUAUUCUUUUUUAUUAAUUUUCAAGAAAUUACAUUUUAGUGGGCGAGCAUAUAACACAUAUAUAACAAAUAGUAAUUUGAGGGAAUUUGUGGAAUGGGAGCAUAAAGAGCAAGAUUAAUGGCAAAAUGCAUGCUUGGGGUCAUGAUGCUCUUGUGAUGAUGUUAUUGCACCGCAUUUGCCUAUUGAUAAAAUCAGUUGAGGCCUGGUCCAGUGAUGGUUGGAUCAGGCAGGUUUUUAGUUAUCAUUCAAGGGAAAGGUGGACAUGCAGCAAGCCCACGUAAAUUAGAGAUCCAAUUCUUGCUCUUUCUAUGGCAAUCCUUGCAUCCAACAGAUUGUCUCGAAAAAAUGAUCCUUUAGAGGCAAGGGUAUUAUUAAUUUUUUCCUUUCAUGUGGUCGUUUAAAAGAACCUUUUCUCUUUAAAUAUUCUACGGUAUUCCAGUAGAACUGAUUAUAACCAAAUUAAUAUGCAUGGUACAAUUGCGUUGGAUCUUACCAUGGACAUAAUGACAGGCAGAAGAAAGUGAAAGAAAAGUAUCUAUGGUAUGAUAUUUUCUCCUGUAAACUUCUUUUCUUUGUAGGGAUUACUACAAUGGUGGAAGAUAACCUAGUUUAGACCAAUCUCUAUAAAUUUUGUAUAUUUUUAUUUCUUUGUAUAAACUAAUUACUAUAGAUGGAAUAGAAUUAGAGUUUCUAAUCCUCGACAAACUGUGUAGGUAGUCUCAGUUGGAUAAUUAGGUGGUGGAGCAAGAAAUUUAAUCCCUCAGACAGUCAGGUUUGGUAGCAUGUUAUGGUUCUUGAAUGCGGA
Molecule: long non-coding RNA, 1174 nt
Filed under: Olea europaea subsp. europaea
Lineage: Eukaryota; Viridiplantae; Streptophyta; Magnoliopsida; Lamiales; Oleaceae
Source: RNAcentral